AACGAACGCUGGCGGCAUGCCUAACACAUGCAAGUCGAACGAGACCUUCGGGUCUAGUGGCGCACGGGUGCGUAACGCGUGGGAACCUGCCCUUAGGUUCGGAAUAACUCCCCGAAAGGGGUGCUAAUACCGGAUAAUGUCUUCGGACCAAAGAUUUAUCGCCUUUGGAUGGGCCCGCGUUGGAUUAGCUAGUUGGUAGGGUAAAAGCCUACCAAGGCGACGAUCCAUAGCUGGUCUGAGAGGAUGAUCAGCCACACUGGGACUGAGACACGGCCCAGACUCCUACGGGAGGCAGCAGUGGGGAAUAUUGGACAAUGGGCGAAAGCCUGAUCCAGCAAUGCCGCGUGCGGGAUGACGGCCUUCGGGUUGUAAACCGCUUUCGCCUGUGACGAAGCGUGAGUGACGGUAAUGGGUAAAGAAGCACCGGCUAACUACGUG
Molecule: ribosomal RNA, 438 nt
Filed under: uncultured bacterium
Lineage: Bacteria
Description: partial 16S ribosomal RNA
Rfam family: Bacterial small subunit ribosomal RNA
Source: RNAcentral